Molecule: ribosomal RNA, 468 nt
Filed under: uncultured bacterium
Lineage: Bacteria
Description: partial 16S ribosomal RNA
Rfam family: Bacterial small subunit ribosomal RNA
Source: RNAcentral
GACGAACGCUGGCGGCGUGCUUAACACAUGCAAGUCGAACGGAAAGGCCCUGCUUUUGUGGGGUGCUCGAGUGGCGAACGGGUGAGUAACACGUGAGUAACCUGCCCUUGACUUUGGGAUAACUUCAGGAAACUUGGGCUAAUACCGGAUAGGAUCUCCUGCUGCAUGGUGGGGGUUGGAAAGUUUCGGCGGUUGGGGAUGGACUCGCGGCUUAUCAGCUUUUUGGUUGGGUAGUGGCUUACCAAGGCUUUGACGGGUAGCCGGCCUGAGAGGGUUACCGGAGAAAUUGGGACUGAGAGACGGCCCAGACUAGAACGGGAGGAAGCAGUGGGGAAUAUUGCAAAAUGGGAGGAAGCCUGAUGAAGAAAAGCGGCGUGCGGGAUGACGGCCUUCGGGUUGUAAACCGCUUUCGAAUGUGACGAAGCGUGAGUGACGGUAAUGGGUAAAGAAGCACCGGCUAACUACGUG